RNAcentral lists this ribosomal RNA (253 nucleotides) under uncultured bacterium. Its description in RNAcentral is "partial 16S ribosomal RNA". It matches the Rfam family "Bacterial small subunit ribosomal RNA", at positions 524 to 776 of the family's 1533-position model. The record is from RNAcentral.
UACAGAGGUCUCAAGCGUUGUUCGGAUUCAUUGGGCGUAAAGGGUGCGUAGGCGGCGCGGUAAGUCGGGUGUGAAAUCUCGGAGCUUAACUCCGAAACUGCAUUCGAUACUGCCGUGCUUGAGGACUGGAGAGGAGACUGGAAUUUACGGUGUAGCGGUGAAAUGCGUAGAUAUCGUAAGGAAGACCAGUGGCGAAGGCGGGUCUCUGGACAGUUCCUGACGCUCAGGCGCGAAAGCGUGGGGAGCAAACAGG